CGGCCCUGGGCGCAGCCGGCACGCACCUCGGUCCUGGCCGGCGUGCGUGCUGCCACUCACCUUCCCCCGCGCCUGCAUCCGGGCUUCGAGCUUCGCCGCCGAGAUGCUCUCUGGGCAUCUGGGAGAUGAAAAGGAUACUCCAAAGCACUCGUGGGUUUCUCCGGUUCUUCAUAUAAGGCCACCAGCACUGCAAAUCACAGAGCAAAACCAGCAACAAGUCAAAUCGGAACUGUGAGACUGAAAUACUUUGUAACUCAGUAAAUGUUAUGCAAUGCUA
Molecule: long non-coding RNA, 277 nt
Organism: Jaculus jaculus (lesser Egyptian jerboa)
Lineage: Eukaryota; Metazoa; Chordata; Mammalia; Rodentia; Dipodidae
Exons: 2
Source: RefSeq, a predicted model, not a curated record